GCAGCCUCAGAGAGUUGUUUUUCUGGAAAGCACCAGGGCUGAUGACUUUGAAACUUUUAUUUCAUCCACAGAAACACCAGAGGGGAAGAAUUAGAAAAAGAGAAAAAUCAGGUCCACAGACAGCAACCAAAUUAGAAAAGAGACUGCAGUGUGAGGAAGGAGAAAGACAGAUGUGGGUUCUCUUGAAGGCCAAUGAGAAGAUUAAUGGGAUGAGGGUCUUGGAUCUUUUCUGGAACACCAAAACGACCGUGGCAUGGCUUUGA
This 263-nucleotide long non-coding RNA is filed under the name Chinchilla lanigera (long-tailed chinchilla). RNAcentral's name for it is "lncRNA (ENSCLAG00000024681.1)". Lineage: Eukaryota; Metazoa; Chordata; Mammalia; Rodentia; Chinchillidae. The record is from RNAcentral.